AUUGAACGCUGGCGGCAUGCUCUACACAUGCAAGUCGAACGGUAACAGGCCGCAAGGUGCUGACGAGUGGCGAACGGGUGCGUAAUGCAUCGGAACGUGCCCAGUCGUGGGGGAUAACUACUCGAAAGAGUAGCUAAUACCGCAUACGAUCUAUGGAUGAAAGCGGGGGACCGUAAGGCCUCGCGCGAUUGGAGCGGCCGAUGUCAGAUUAGGUAGUUGGUGGGGUAAAGGCUCACCAAGCCAACGAUCUGUAGCUGGUCUGAGAGGACGACCAGCCACACUGGGACUGAGACACGGCCCAGACUCCUACGGGAGGCAGCAGUGGGGAAUUUUGGACAAUGGGCGCAAGCCUGAUCCAGCAAUGCCGCGUGCAGGAAGAAGGCCUUCGGGUUGUAAACUGCUUUUGUACGGAACGAAACGGCUCUGGUUAAUACCCGGGGCUAAUGACGGUACCGUAAGAAUAAGCACCGGCUAACUACGUG
This 482-nucleotide ribosomal RNA is filed under the name uncultured bacterium. Its description in RNAcentral is "partial 16S ribosomal RNA". It matches the Rfam family "Bacterial small subunit ribosomal RNA", at positions 30 to 507 of the family's 1533-position model. The record is from RNAcentral.